This 327-nucleotide ribosomal RNA is filed under the name uncultured eukaryote. RNAcentral's name for it is "partial 18S ribosomal RNA". It matches the Rfam family "Eukaryotic small subunit ribosomal RNA", at positions 1470 to 1796 of the family's 1831-position model. The record is from RNAcentral.
CCCUUAGAUGUUCUGGGCCGCACGCGCGCUACACUGACGAAUGCAACGAGCUUAUAACCUUGGCCGAAAGGUCUGGGUAAUCUCCAAAUUUCGUCGUGAUGGGGAUAGAUUAUUGCAAUUAUUAAUCUUCAACGAGGAAUGCCUAGUAAGCGCAAGUCAUCAGCUUGCGUUGAUUACGUCCCGGCCCUUUGUACACACCGCCCGUCGCUCCUACCGAUUGAAUGGUCCGGUGAAGCGUUCGGACCGUGGCCUUUGGACGGUUCGCCGUCUGUUGGCUGCGGGAAGUUCGUUAAACCUUAUCAUUUAGAGGAAGGAGAAGUCGUAACA